This 322-nucleotide ribosomal RNA is filed under the name uncultured bacterium. RNAcentral's name for it is "bacterial SSU rRNA". It matches the Rfam family "Bacterial small subunit ribosomal RNA", at positions 30 to 351 of the family's 1533-position model. The record is from RNAcentral.
AUUGAACGCUGGCGGCAUGCCUUACACAUGCAAGUCGAACGGCAGCACGGGAGCAAUCCUGGUGGCGAGUGGCGAACGGGUGAGUAAUAUAUCGGAACGUGCCAUUGGAGUGGGGGAUAACGUAGCGAAAGUUGCGCUAAUACCGCAUAUUCUGUGAGCAGGAAAGCAGGGGACCGCAAAGGCCUUGCGCUCUUUGAGCGGCCGAUGUCAGAUUAGCUAGUUGGUGAGGUAAAGGCUUACCAAGGCGACGAUCUGUAGCGGGUCUGAGAGGAUGAUCCGCCACACUGGAACUGAGACACGGUCCAGACUCCUACGGGUGCAG